This is a long non-coding RNA of Temnothorax curvispinosus, 842 nucleotides long. RefSeq lists it as uncharacterized. The transcript has 4 exons. The record is from RefSeq and is a predicted model, not a curated record. Lineage: Eukaryota; Metazoa; Arthropoda; Insecta; Hymenoptera; Formicidae.
UUCAGGAUGUCUGUGCAAAAAGAACUUCAUAAGAAUUCAAGUAAUCGAAUUUAAUUCUAUAAGAAUUCGCGUGUUUGAAUUCUUGUAGACUUCAGGAUGUCUGUUCAAAAAGAACUUCAUAAGAAUUUGUUUCUCAAGAUUAAAAUGAUCGAAAAAUAUAUGUUCUGUAAGACUUCAAAAGAAAUAUCGAUACAGAAUUCUUCAAGAAAUGUUUUAUCGUAGCCGUAAAGAAUUCUUUUCGAAUUGUUGUUUUCGCGAAGCGUUGUUAGAAUCUGCGCAUGUGCAGUGUGCCUGUUUGUCGUUACCAUGGCAACGGAUUGUGAAGCAGCACUAGGCGACGGUGCACGGGCAGUGACGGGCAGCGCUAAUUCCGUACUUCGAACGAUCGAGAUCAAGGCUCUGAUAGUUUUCACCAGUUCCAUUAGCUAAUCGGACCUCAACGUGUUACAACCUGCUACAUGGUUCUGUUGUUUCCAUCAGUUUAAAUCAGUUAAUCAUGUCAUGACUGAUUCACUGGCGAAAAUUUAUUCCUGGUCUGGGCAGCGUAAAACACUGAAGUUCAGUUCAACUGUAAUUUGUCAAUUGAUUAUCAAAACUAUUUCCAAGCAAACAGAUGCGACCAGAACGAGCAUCAAAGAAAUUAUUAAAUCGUGGUUGCAACAUGCAACGGACAGGAUGCGAUAACUAAUUGCGAUAAGUUUCUAUAACUAAAGUUUCUAUAAGUUUUACUAGUUUUUAUAAGUUGUACAGUUGUACACUAUAAGUAAAUUCAUAAUAAGUUUAUAUAUAUUAUAGUUCAUAUAUUAUAUAACUGUUUUUAUAAUAAGUUCAAUAAAUAAUAA